GGUCCUAUAGUCUAGUGGUCAGGACGUCAGAUUGUAUGUUCACCGUUCCAAAUUCUACGACACAUCAAGCUAAUUCGUCACAGUUGAUUAAUCAUCAUCCUCCUUCUGAAGUCGCCAGUUCGAACCUGGCUAGGACCU
Molecule: non-coding RNA, 138 nt
Organism: Dactylonectria estremocensis
Lineage: Eukaryota; Fungi; Ascomycota; Sordariomycetes; Hypocreales; Nectriaceae
Source: the annotation of a GenBank genome assembly